This 60-nucleotide transfer RNA is filed under the name Dipodomys ordii (Ord's kangaroo rat). It matches the Rfam family "tRNA", at positions 7 to 64 of the family's 71-position model. From Rfam's summary of the family: Transfer RNA (tRNA) molecules are approximately 80 nucleotides in length. Lineage: Eukaryota; Metazoa; Chordata; Mammalia; Rodentia; Heteromyidae. The record is from Rfam by way of RNAcentral.
GUAGCUCAGUGGUAGAGAACUUGCCUUACAAGCAUGAGGCCCUGGGUUCGAUUCCUCAGC